This 1364-nucleotide long non-coding RNA is filed under the name Marmota monax (woodchuck). Lineage: Eukaryota; Metazoa; Chordata; Mammalia; Rodentia; Sciuridae. The record is from RNAcentral.
CUUAUUAUCAUUUAAUAUUCAUAACAUUGUCCAAGAGAUGUGAAGCUUAUCAAAAGUUAGCAAAAAUAAAUUAGACCCAAUAAGAAUCCUUCAUAUUCCGUGAUUCCACCUGAUCAACUGUAUUUCCUCAUACAGAAACACAGGGUCUGCCCUACCUUAAUAACAAAGAUCAUGCAGUGUUUGGGGUUUUUCUUGAGUAAAAGCAACAAUCUUAUUUGCAUUUCUUUGAAGGAAAAAGCUGAAAUGAGAACAGAUGAUUGGAAAAAUGACUGACAGAUGAGGAGAGACUCUAACCGCAGAUUUCAGGAUUUAAUUUAGGAUGUGUGGGUGCGACUUCUCAAAUGAGAAUUUGAAAAAUGGAGAUUUUUGUCUAUUUUACUUGGGGUCUCUGUGCCCAGCUGUGUGCCCUGGUCAAGAAUUUCUCCAGUGCAUGCUCCCCGUGAUGCCUAGAGGUGGUGGGGAAGAAGUGCGGAGGCUGGAGAAGGGUGUCCAGCAUGGGGAGACCAAAGUAACAAGUUCUAGUACUCUGCAGAACAGAGGGAGGACUGUGGUUCACAAUAGCCUGCCUGUUCCACAUAUGAACAGCUAGAAGAAGGGGCUUAGAGUCUCUACACACAAAGUAACAAUGCAGAGGUGGGACCUUAACUUCCCUGAUUGGAUCAGUGCAUGUGAUAGACAUGUAUUUUGUUGUUUGUUUCUUUGGGUGUUGGGUAUUGAGCCCAGCGGUACUAUAUCAUGGAGCUACAUUCCCAGUCCUUUAUAGUUUUUAUUUUGGAAUGGCCUUGCUAAGUUGCAGAGGCUGGCCUCAAACUUGCCAUCUUCUGCCUCAGCCUCCCAAGUUACUGGGAUUACAAGCAAGCAUGUACUACUGUGCCUGGCUGUAUAUAUGUAUUGAAAUAUCACACUGUACCCUAUUAAUACAUAUUAUUAUGUGUCAAUCAAAGACAUUUUUUUAAUGUUUAAAGAGAUAGAAAUGUUAACCACCCUGAUUUGAUUAUUAUACUCUCUGUAUAUGUAUCAGAUUUUUCACAGUGUACCCAGUAAAUUUCUACAACUAAAAUAUUUUUAAAAUGUAUGAAUCUGUGCAUUCAUUCACCUUUGGUUCUUUAGAGUCCCUCUAGUAUGCCUUCUCUACCAGCCUGUCUGACUUUUUCUAUCAUCAGUGACACCUGAAUAAAUUUACUCUCCACUCCCCACCAGAAAAAAAAAUUUAAAAACACUUAUCAUCACCAUGUUUUAGUCAUUUAGACCAUUAUCAUCUUGCAUGGCAGUUCCUUUAUAACACAGUGGAAAUAUGGCUCAGUUGUUGGUUCUGAAACCAGAAUUAAAAUUUGCAGUAGCAGCAUCUCUUUGUGAUAAAUAAC